GCCCAAACCACCAACUUUCUGCUGUUGACACAGUGCCCUCUCAAGCAGCAACUACAGCAAGCAGUGUCACAAGCAACGUCAUCUGGCUAUUCAGCCUCCACCAGGAAAGUUCUCCUGCAGCAGUAUUUGAUUUGAACGGCUAAUGUAAGAUUCCAAAAAGAUGAAAUGGUCUUGUAAAACGUGUAUAUUUGAGGCUGACACACGGACAGAACUGUUGAAACACUACAGACUAAGACAUGGAAUGGUUAGCCGUGGCCAGAUGCGCCCUGAUGGAAUUCCUGGGGGAGUCUUCAGGGGAACUCAUCAAGGACUACAAGGGUAUCAGCAGAGAGGCAGCUCAAGAGGACCAGGCUGAGCAAGUCCUGAGGAUCUGUGUCUACCACACAGGAGAAGAAGAUGAAGGUGCAUUCGACGCUGAUGUGUCGAUUGUGGUUGAAGGGACUGAGGUACUUGACAACUGUGGAAGUGUUGCAAAGGCCUGUCUCCUGCUGAUGGGCAUUGCUUAUGCCAUGAACUUGAGUUACCUACCAAAAAUGAAGUGCACUUUUGAAGUGUUCCAGAAGCUUCUUCUAGAGCUUGAUGUCCUUAAGCUAUGU
Long non-coding RNA from Centropristis striata (black sea bass), 596 nucleotides. RefSeq lists it as uncharacterized. The record is from RefSeq and is a predicted model, not a curated record. Lineage: Eukaryota; Metazoa; Chordata; Actinopteri; Perciformes; Serranidae. The transcript is spliced from 4 exons.